AUAGUUUGUCGUAAAAGAGGUGCGGGUCCACAGCAGGGCCUGCUUAAAAGGGAAGUCCGGUAUAUUCCGGCGCGGUCCCGCCACUGUAAAUGCGGAGCGACUCUAUCUAACGCCACUGUUCAAGAAGAAUGGGAAGGCAAAGAGAAGCGUUGAUGCAUGAGCCAGGAAACCUGCCUUUUUUGUUAAAGUUUC
RNAcentral lists this non-coding RNA (192 nucleotides) under Paenibacillus wynnii. Lineage: Bacteria; Bacillati; Bacillota; Bacilli; Caryophanales; Paenibacillaceae. The record is from RNAcentral.